This 946-nucleotide ribosomal RNA is filed under the name uncultured bacterium. RNAcentral's name for it is "bacterial SSU rRNA". It matches the Rfam family "Bacterial small subunit ribosomal RNA", at positions 542 to 1501 of the family's 1533-position model. The record is from RNAcentral.
UUAUCGGAUUCAUUGGGUUUAAGGGUGCGUAGGCGGACUAUUAAGUCAGUGGUGAAAUCCUGCAGCUUAACUGCAGAACUGCCAUUGAUACUGAUAGCCUUGAGUUUGGUUAAGGUAGGCGGAAUGUGUAAUGUAGCGGUGAAAUGCUUAGAUAUUACACAGAACACCAAUUGCGUAGGCAGCUUACUGAGCCGACACUGACGCUGAGGCACGAAAGCGUGGGGAUCGAACAGGAUUAGAUACCCUGGUAGUCCACGCCGUAAACGAUGAUUACUCGCUGUUGGCGAUACACUGUCAGCGGCUAAGCAAAAGCAAUAAGUAAUCCACCUGGGGAGUACGGCCGCAAGGUUGAAACUCAAAGGAAUUGACGGGGGCCCGCACAAGCGGAGGAACAUGUGGUUUAAUUCGAUGAUACGCGAGGAACCUUACCUGGGCUUAAAUGUAGAGUGCAUUUUCUAGAGAUAGGAAUUCCCUUCGGGGCUUUCUGCAAGGUGCUGCAUGGUUGUCGUCAGCUCGUGCCGUGAGGUGUCGGGUUAAGUCCCAUAACGAGCGCAACCCUUAUCGUUAGUUGCCAUCUGGUAAAGCAGGGGACUCUAGCGAAACUGCCACCGUAAGGUGAGAGGAAGGUGGGGAUGACGUCAAAUCAGCACGGCCCUUAUGUCCAGGGCUACACACGUGUUACAAUGGUCGGUACAGAGGGCAGCUACCUGGUGACAGGAUGCUAAUCUCGAAAACCGGUCUCAGUUCGGAUCGAAGUCUGCAACUCGACUUCGUGAAGCUGGAUUCGCUAGUAAUCGCGCAUCAGCCAUGGCGCGGUGAAUACGUUCCCGGGCCUUGUACACACCGCCCGUCAAGCCAUGGAAGCUGGGGGUGCCUGAAGUCCGUAACCGAAAGGAGCGGCCUAGGGUAAAACUAGUGACUGGGGCUAAGUCGUAACAAGGUAGCC